This 21-nucleotide ribosomal RNA is filed under the name Helostroma bacarum. RNAcentral's name for it is "Microstroma bacarum partial 26S rRNA". The record is from RNAcentral. Lineage: Eukaryota; Fungi; Basidiomycota; Exobasidiomycetes; Microstromatales; Microstromataceae. RNAcentral also lists the same sequence under 1 other name.
CUGGCCUCAAAUCAGGUAGGA